CGGGUGAGUAAAGCAUCGGAACGUACCCUAGAGUGGGGGAUAACUAUCCGAAAGGAUAGCUAAUACCGCAUAUUCUAUGAGUAGGAAAGCGGGGGAUCUUCGGACCUCGCGCUCUAGGAGCGGCCGAUGUCAGAUUAGGUAGUUGGUGGGGUAAAGGCCUACCAAGCCGACGAUCUGUAGCGGGUCUGAGAGGAUGACCCGCCACACUGGGACUGAGACACGGCCCAGACUCCUACGGGAGGCAGCAGUGGGGAAUUUUGGACAAUGGGGGCAACCCUGAUCCAGCCAUGCCGCGUGAGUGAAGAAGGCCUUCGGGUUGUAAAGCUCUUUCGGCCGGGAAGAAAUCGUGUGGGCUAAUACCCUGCAUGGAUGACGGUACCGGAAUAAGAAGCACCGGCUAACUGCGUGCCAGCAGCCGCGGUAAUACGUAGGGUGCGAGCGUUAAUCGGAAUUACUGGGCGUAAAGCGUGCGCAGGCGGUUUUUUAAGACAGGCGUGAAAUCCCCGGGCUUAACCUGGGAACUGCGCUUGUGACUGGAAGGCUAGAGUACGGCAGAGGGGGGUGGAAUUCCACGUGUAGCAGUGAAAUGCGUAGAGAUGUGGAGGAACACCGAUGGCGAAGGCAGCCCCCUGGGCCGAUACUGACGCUCAUGCACGAAAGCGUGGGGAGCAGACAGGAUUAGAUACCCUGGUAGUCCACGCCCUAAACGAUGUCAACUAGUUGUUGGG
This 728-nucleotide ribosomal RNA is filed under the name uncultured bacterium. RNAcentral describes it as "bacterial SSU rRNA". It matches the Rfam family "Bacterial small subunit ribosomal RNA", at positions 103 to 827 of the family's 1533-position model. The record is from RNAcentral.